This 180-nucleotide non-coding RNA is filed under the name Tepidanaerobacter acetatoxydans. RNAcentral describes it as "Lysine sequence". It matches the Rfam family "Lysine riboswitch aptamer". From Rfam's summary of the family: Riboswitches are metabolite binding domains within certain messenger RNAs that serve as precision sensors for their corresponding targets. Allosteric rearrangement of mRNA structure is mediated by ligand binding, and this results in modulation of gene expression. The record is from RNAcentral. RNAcentral also lists the same sequence under 1 other name. Lineage: Bacteria; Bacillati; Bacillota; Clostridia; Thermosediminibacterales; Tepidanaerobacteraceae.
AGUUGGGGUAGAGGCGCGAUAUAUCAUGAGUAGAUUUGUGGAGAUACGGGAAGUCUAUGAAGCAAAUUAAAAGGGAUUAUCGCCGAAGUAUGGUUUUCCCCCAAGAAAUCAUACUGGGCUUAUAUCGAAUAGGUAUAAGACUGUCACUGAAAGUUUAUUCAGUGAAGCGCUACUUCAUUU